This 420-nucleotide RNase P RNA is filed under the name Ignavibacteriaceae bacterium. RNAcentral's name for it is "RNase P RNA component class A". It matches the Rfam family "Bacterial RNase P class A". Rfam says of the family: Ribonuclease P (RNase P) is a ubiquitous endoribonuclease, found in archaea, bacteria and eukarya as well as chloroplasts and mitochondria. Its best characterised activity is the generation of mature 5'-ends of tRNAs by cleaving the 5'-leader elements of precursor-tRNAs. Cellular RNase Ps are ribonucleoproteins. The record is from RNAcentral. Lineage: Bacteria; Pseudomonadati; Ignavibacteriota; Ignavibacteria; Ignavibacteriales; Ignavibacteriaceae.
AGUUCAAACCGGGCAAUUGCUUCACAAUCUUUUGGGAAGAGGAAAGUCCGAACUUCAUAGAACGGAGCGCCGGGUAACACCCGGGAUUCUGAUUAAUAUCGGAAUACGGAUAGUGCCACAGAAAAUAUACCGUCCUGAUUAUAAGUCAGGAUAAGGGUGAAAUGGCAGGGUAAGAGCCUACCGCGGUAGUGGUAACACUGCCGGUCCGAAAGGAUCCCGCUUUGCGGGACAUGGUAAACCCCGCUCGAAGCAAGGUCAAGUAGGAAAAUCUUUCCCGACUUGUAUCGGGAUCAAAGUUGUUCGCUUUGAAUGAUUUUCGGGUAGACCGCUGGAUUUCCGAAGUAAUUCGGAAACAAGACAAAUAAUUGCCGCCCCGAUUUUUUCGGGGAACAGAAUUCGGCUUAUAGGUCUGAACUUACU